AGAGUUUGAUCCUGGCUCAGGACGAACGCUGGCGGCGUGCCUAACACAUGCAAGCCGAACGGGGUGAGGCCCUUCGGGACCUUUACCUAGUGGCGAACGGGUGAGUAACGCGUGAGGAACCUGCCUUUCAGUGGGGGACAACAGUUGGAAACGACUGCUAAUACCGCAUGAAGCUUUUGGGAGACAUCUCCUGGAAGCCAAAGCUUAAUGUGCUGAAAGAUGGCCUCGCGUCUGAUCAGCUAGUUGGUGGGGUAACGGCCCACCAAGGCGACGAUCAGUAGCCGGUCUGAGAGGAUGAACGGCCACAUUGGGACUGAGAUACGGCCCAGACUCCUACGGGAGGCAGCAGUGGGGAAUAUUGGGCAAUGGCGAAAGCCUGACCCAGCAACGCCGCGUGAAGGAAGAAGGCCUUCGGGUUGUAAACUUCUUUUACCAGGGACGAAGGACGUGACGGUACCUGGAGAAAAAGCAACGGCUAACUACGUGCCAGCAGCCGCGGUAAUACGUAGGUUGCAAGCGUUGUCCGAAUUUACUGGGUGUAAAGGGCGUGUAGGCGGAGAUGCAAGUUAGGAGUGAAAUCUAUGGGCUCAACCCAUAAACUGCUUCUAAAACUGUAUCCCUUGAGUAUCGGAGAGGCAAGCGGAAUUCCUAGUGUAGCGGUGAAAUGCGUAGAUAUUAGGAGGAACACCAGUGGCGAAGGCGGCUUGCUGGACGACAACUGACGCUGAGGCGCGAAAGCGUGGGGAGCAAACAGGAUUAGAUACCCUGGUAGUCCACGCUGUAAACGAUGAAUACUAGGUGUGGGGGGACUGACCCCCUCCGUGCCGCAGUUAACACAAUAAGUAUUCCACCUGGGGAGUACGACCGCAAGGUUGAAACUCAAAGGAAUUGACGGGGGCCCGCACAAGCAGUGGAUUAUGUGGUUUAAUUCGACGCAACGCGAAGAACCUUACCAGGACUUGACAUCCAACUAACGAAGUAGAGAUACAUCAGGUGCCCUUCGGGGAAAGUUGAGACAGGUGGUGCAUGGUUGUCGUCAGCUCGUGACGUGAGAUGUUGGGUUAAGUCCCGCAACGAGCGCAACCCCUAUUGUUAGUUGCUACGAAAGAGCACUCUAGCGAGACUGCCGUUGACAAAACGGAGGAAGGCGGGGACGACGUCAAAUCAUCAAGCCCCUUAUGUCCUGGGCUACACACGUAAUACAAUGGUGGCCAACAGAGGGAAGCGAAGCCGUGAGGCAGAGCAAAUCCCUAAAAGCCAUCUCAGUUCGGAUUGCAGGCUGCAACUCGCCUGCAUGAAGCUGGAAUUGCUAGUAAUCGCGGAUCAGCAUGCCGCGGUGAAUACGUUCCCGGGCCUUGUACACACCGCCCGUCACACCAUGAGAGUCGGGAACACCCGAAGUCCGUAGUCUAACCGCAAGGGGGGCGCGGCCGAAGGUGGGUCCGGUAAUUGGGGUGAAGUCGUAACAAGGUA
RNAcentral lists this ribosomal RNA (1473 nucleotides) under metagenome. RNAcentral describes it as "bacterial SSU rRNA". It matches the Rfam family "Bacterial small subunit ribosomal RNA". The record is from RNAcentral.